Long non-coding RNA from Pollicipes pollicipes, 676 nucleotides. RefSeq lists it as uncharacterized. The transcript has 5 exons. Lineage: Eukaryota; Metazoa; Arthropoda; Thecostraca; Pollicipedomorpha; Pollicipedidae. The record is from RefSeq and is a predicted model, not a curated record.
GUGCACCGCCGGCUUUAGGGCGGAUCUCCCAGAAGUGAGUGCCAAGCCCGUCUGCUGUCGGAGCCGUGCACGACCGACAGCGAGUUGCCAGGCUGUGACGACACAUUCGGUGUGCACGGACGGUGUCUGCGCCUGUGCGGCAGGAUACUGGAACCGAACUAACAGCGAAUGCCGGCCAGGUGUAAGCGCAGGCCAGGCAUGCACCUUCGACCAGGACUGCUCCACGCACCGCUCCAACUUCACGUGCAACUCGGGCGAGUGCUCGGAACGCGUCUGUCCGGGCGUCGUGCAUGGAAGCUAUGAGUACCGGCUGGCUGGAGGUAAUUCCUGUGCGCAAGGCCGAGUCGAACUCAGACCCCUCGGCGGCACUUGGGGCUAUGUCUGUGACGACGAGUGGGAGGAUGUGGACGCGUCAGUUGUCUGCCGAACAUUAGGAUUUAGCGCUGGGAGAGCACACUGCUGCUCCGCGUACGGUGCCGGAGGACCUGAAAACUUCUACAUGGAUGACGUCAGCUGCAGUGGCUCCGAGAGCCACCUGAAGAAUUGUCGCCACAGCACCCGGGAUAACUGCAGCCGAGGAGAGGUGGCGGCGGUCACCUGCAGUGGUCCCCAGCAGAACGCCUGAGCCUGAGGCUACAGACUGAGGACUACAACGGCCAGCCUGGCGUUUGCUCGG